AGGCUCCUCGGGUCGUGAGGGGCCGAGGGCGCCAAGUCUCGCGACAUCUGAGCGCACCUGCUGGUCUGAGGAGCCGGGCGCAGCGUAGUCUCGCGAGAUCUCCGGCAACGGCCGCCCGUGCGGCCCUGAGGGGGAACAGCGCGAAGGAGGCUCCGGACCUGCCCUGCGCCCUCCGUGUCCCCUCACAGUCCCCCUACCCCUCGUGACCACACCAUGGAGGUGUCUCCCAGCGCCCUCAGUGAGGCUCAGGCCCCCCUCACAUUCCCCGGUACUCAAGUAGCUGUGCCCGCCUUGCAGGUGUAGGAGUUCCUUUAAGGCAGCACAAGGACAGCGGGAAAGGCAGAAAGGCAGUGAAAACCCUCAAAAACCGCUUGCUGAGGCCGGGAUUUGUGUGCACAAACCUCCAGCAAAGACUGUUCGGGGGUGGUCACUGGAGAGGCAGCAGGAGAGAACCAGAGGACAGGGAGAGGUCUGGAGACUGGGAAGGCUCAGGGAGAGGGGGAGUCUCCAGGUCUGGGUCACAGUUCUGCUCCAAUUUGCUCUCAAGCACCAGAAGGAAGAAUUGCAGCUCUCAGCCCAGCCCACACCAACAGGCACAGGCCCCAGGAUGUAAUCGGGAGGGAAGAUAAUUCUAGGAAGAGUUUCACAGCUCAUGAACACCCAGUGCCUGUAAACCUGUGGGGUUUUUGCAUCAGAGGGGGCAAAGUGACCGCGAGUGAGAAGGGGAGGGCCAGGGAGGUGCUGCAGGACUCACCUCCUCCCUGGCAAUGGUCAUGUUGUCCUGCACGUUCCCAAAGACCG
This is a long non-coding RNA of Lepidothrix coronata (blue-crowned manakin), 801 nucleotides long. RefSeq lists it as uncharacterized. Lineage: Eukaryota; Metazoa; Chordata; Aves; Passeriformes; Pipridae. The record is from RefSeq and is a predicted model, not a curated record. The transcript is spliced from 3 exons.